UUAAGUAGUAAUGCCUUCCAAGAGGUUCUCCAGAGCGUGUUUGCAGAUAUACAAGUAUAUACCACAAAUGGUAAAAAACAGAGGAGAACCUCAAGUAAAACAAAGGUAAUGGAAAAUAGCCUGACUGUCUCUAUGCGAAAAGGAGAAAACAAAAUGGGGAAUUAGAAGAGCAUCACUGAGCAUAAGUGGUUUUGGAAAAUAUACACUGAGCAUUCAUGUGCCAUUUGGAGAGAUGCCAGUUUUAGAGAAGAACUGGCAAGGCUGGGGCAGAGCCAGAAGCUUUAUCCACGAGGCUUAAUUCAAGGAUGCUGACAGUUGCUCUUUAAAGACCUCACCUUUUUGUCAUGGUUAUUAAUAAGCAAUGCCUUUAAUGCUCAGUAUAGCUACACGUGUGCUCCAUGCAAAGGUCUGAACAACCAACCCAAGAUCAUGGCAGCAGAUGGAACUCAGACAAGACAGGUGACAUUGUGGGCCUUUGCUCUGAGACACCUCCUAUAUGACAGGAGAGUGAUGCAACAGUCAC
Long non-coding RNA from Neopelma chrysocephalum (saffron-crested tyrant-manakin), 523 nucleotides. RefSeq lists it as uncharacterized. NCBI's taxonomy places the organism in Eukaryota, Metazoa, Chordata, Aves, Passeriformes, Pipridae. The record is from RefSeq and is a predicted model, not a curated record. The transcript has 3 exons.